This 498-nucleotide long non-coding RNA is filed under the name Takifugu rubripes (torafugu). RNAcentral's name for it is "lncRNA (ENSTRUG00000028717.1)". Lineage: Eukaryota; Metazoa; Chordata; Actinopteri; Tetraodontiformes; Tetraodontidae. The record is from RNAcentral.
CCGCGGUUCUGCACCAAAUGGAACAUCUGAUAAUUCAUCAGAUCGACACGUCCUUAUUUGGUGCACUCUUCCUCUGACGUGUACGGGGUAAAGUGUUGCUGCCAUAAUAAAAAUGAGGCGGUAUUAGGUGCUGCACACUCAAGCCGUCCACUCAGACUGCCGACUACCUGCCACAGUUUCCUCACAGUCAUGAAGAGCUUCAUCAUUCAAAGUCUGGCACUGAUCGGGGCCAUGGUUGUCAUUGUGGACGUGGCCUCCAUACCGCCACCGAAAACAAACGUGCUGCUCAAGUCAAUCUUUGCUGAUGCAAAUAAUAUGUUAAAUACGUUUUCACAAAAGAACCUGACUUCUAGGGUUAAGAGGCCAUGGAAGGGAGACGCAAGCAGAUGUUGGAUGUACUUCUUCUGCCUGGCUGAGAAGUCCCUGAAUUUGACCGAUUUCAACCAGUCCAAACUCACCAAACACCUGCAUCAGUACAACAAGGUAACCAGGGCAUAA